This is a non-coding RNA of Sus scrofa (pig), 7562 nucleotides long. The record is from RefSeq and is a predicted model, not a curated record. Lineage: Eukaryota; Metazoa; Chordata; Mammalia; Artiodactyla; Suidae.
GAAAUACACCCAGUGGGAUUGCAGGAUCACAUGGUAGCUCUAUUUUUAGUUUUUUAAGGAACCUCCAUACUGUUCUCCAGAAUGGCUCUACCCUUUUACAUUCCCAUGGACAGUGGAGGAGAGCUCCCUUUUUGCCCCUAAGGUUCUUUUCUAGCCUCACCUUAGUCUGGCCUUGACCUCCUGGCUGUUCCUUAAAUGUGUCCUACUCUCUCCCACCCUGGGGCUGUUGCUCUUCCAUCUGCCCCCAAGAACUGCGUGGCUCCCCUUAUUCUCGCCUGUCUGGGCUCUAAGGUCAUGUAAGGCAGCAGCACUUCUCUGUCUCUGCCCCCUGCCCUGGCUUUUUUUGCUCCACACUCACACACCUGCCCUGUCUGUUCAUUGUCUCUCCCUCCACUCAGUGUGAUCUAACAGCAUCCAGCACACACACACCUGAGAAGGCUCCCUGCAUAUCUGUGACUGAAUGGCUGAAAGGACACACAACAGAUACGCUGCUUUCCCCCUCUUUCAAGAUGUUAUUUUCCCUUCAGGGGGAUCAUUCUGGCCCCAUCCUUAGUUUCACUAUCUCCAUAAGAAUCUCCUCAAAAUAUCUGGCCUUAAAGUGCUUUGAUCAACCUCCUUCAUAACACACACUCUGACCUCUUUUAAAACAUGUGAUUCCAAUUUUUUUUAUAUAUAUGAAAAACAUCCUAUAAUCCCACAACCCACUACCUAAAGGCUAGAUGCUUAUUGAAGUUGUUCUUUGUAUUUUGCAGCUGUCUGUUAAAAUCCCAGGGAAAUGGUUGGACCUGAUUUGUCUUCCAGAGGAAGUGCACCUCUGUGUGUGCCCAGGGAGCCUCUGGUAGAACACAGAGAUCCCUGCCCCUCCCCCUCCCGCUCCCCAGUCUGAAGCCAGCCAUGCCCUCCCACUGCCUGUGGAGUGAGAUUUGAUCUCCUCAUUGGGGCAUUUCCAGUCCUUUCUGCCUCUUAUGCCCUAAGAAGCCUUUGCUCAGCCAAACUUGGCCCCUCAUUAUCCUCUGAUACCUGUGCGCACGGCCCUCUCCCUUAGAAACCUCGUCCAGGCCCUGCGGCUUGAGCUCCCCAACCCAAGCCAGCCCUACUCUUUGUUUUGAGGCCUCAGCUUCAGCUUGGAUUUCAAAUGGCCUGUUGGCAUCUCUUUCUGUGAGCUCUGCCAGCAACUCAAUUUCAACUUGGUUAAAGCCUGCCUUGAUGUUUUCUCCCACCCACAGCCCCACUUCCUAUCAGAAGUCUCACCAUUUUCCCAGACUCUCAGGGGUAAAACUCAGGGUCUGGUGGACUUUUCCUUUGUCACUCACACCCAGCCAGUCAUCACAAUCAAUUCAUCCUGAUAAUCCCUAUUGAUAGGAUUGACUAAUCACAGACCCACCAUGUGUAAAAGGUAUAUUUUCUAUAGUCUCUGAAAUAAGGCUAUGGGUUGCUUAGGGUACAGAUGAAACUGGUGCACAGAGGGACCCAGGAAUUCAGUGGCCCAAAGAAAGCAGAUGUUUAUCCCUCUCUUAUGUAGGGACCCUGACUGGUCAGUCUGUUUCCUGCAUGGCAUGGCUUUGUGACCACUCUGGUCAUUUCCAUUUCCCAACCUACAGAAAGGAUGAGAGAGGUCCUGUGACAAAUAGCUAAGCCAGUCUUUAUUUAUUUUUUCCUUUUUUUUAGGGCAGCAGGUGCAGCACAUGGAAGUUCCCACCUAGGGCUUGAAUCGAGCUGUAGUUGCUGGCCUAUGCCACAGCUCAUGGCAAUGCUGGAUCCUUAACGCACCGAGUGAGGCCAGGGAUUGAACCCACAUCCUCAUGGAAGUUAGUUGGCUUGAUUCCUCUGAGCCACAAUGGGAACUCCAAACAGCUAAGCCUGUCUUUAUGAGCCACUUGAAAGCUGUGCUCCUCACUUUUUCUCACAUCCCUUCCUUCUGAGCUGAGUCAGGUGACCACUGCAAAGGCAGAUGGAAAAUGUAGUUUCUAACUCGUGGCCAUGUGCAGCCAGCUAAAAAUGGGAUGGAUGUUCUAUUAGAAAAGGAAGAAAAGAAGAAACUGGUGGGUAUUGUUACCCUCAUUUGAAGAUGGGGCGCUGAGGCCUAGAGAGCUGAGCGGAGGUGUCAGAACGCAUUGGGAUUGGCUUCCAGGUCUGCCUGACUUGACUGUCUCUUACCCCACAAGGCCUCUCAAGGGACAGCUUAAGUGUGACUGGUAAGAAGAGAUAUAACUAAUAGAAAGAUCAUGUGUGCUUGAGCCUUCUGGGCAGAUCUCACAAAAGAAGAAGGGCUCAAAGGAAGGAAGCUGGGGUCUGGCUGGGUGGAGGAGAGGAAGGAGGGAAAAGUGAUAAUUUCCUUUUAGAAGGUGGGUCUCUAGGCCAUAUUUUGGUUUAGUCACUUCAAAUCAAUAAACAUUGCUCUAGGGCUUCUUCUAUGAACGCUUGAGUUUGGAGGAAGAUUUGGUGACAAAAUAGGAGCAGAAUCCUGCUUGAAACCCUUCAGUGUCUAAGUCCCCUUUGGCCACCACCCAACCACCUUGUUGGGUCCACAGGCCCUUGUGACCUGGCCCUGUCUGGCCAGAGCCUCUCUCUUCUGCUCCUCCAAGUGCAGGGACUUGCCCUGGCUGGCCACGCACACUGGCCUGUGCCCAUGCCUGGAAUGCUCUGGCCCAACCUCCUCCUGGAUGACAGCUGUUUUUUACUUCCUGACCUUGUUCUUCCUCUACCUGGAUUUGGGAAGACACAAAGGAAUGUUCUGCGAUUGCAUUCUGUUGGAGCAAGACUUAGAAAUAGACACAUAGACACUUGUUCGUGGGGCUCUUCUGCUACAGUAUGCACUCCAUGGAGAAGGCCUGCACCUUUCCCAGCCUCUGGCCUUCAGCACCGAGUCCAGGACAAGGACGAAAAAAGACUAGUCUCCUCUUAAGACUGUGGACUUCUUGAGGGUUGGCCUGUGGUCUUUUUAAAAUUCAUUGUUUCUUUAAUUCAGUAAAUACAAAAAAUAACUCAUAAUCUGCAAAUCAGAGUCAGUGCUUGGGCUAGUUUUAUUAGUUCGGUUGGCCUGCCAUAACAAAUUACAGCAGACUGGGUGGCCUAAACAACAGACAUUUAUUUUCUCACUGUUCUGCCAUCUAGAAGUCCAAGAUCAAAGUGGGGCAUGGUUGUUUCUUCUGAGGCCUCUCUCAGGGGCUUGUGGACCGCUGCCUCCUCUCUGCCUUCACAUGGUCUUCCCUCUUUGUGUGUCUGUGUUCGAGUCUCCUCUUCUUAUAGUGACACCUAUGGUAUUGCAUUAGGGCUCACCCAUGUGACCUUAUUUUACCAUAAUUACCUCUUCAAAGAACCCAUCUGCAAUUCAGUCAUGUUCUGAGCUCCCAGAGGUUAGGACCUCAACAUAUGGACUUGGGGGAACAUGAUUCAGCCCAUAACACUGACAUGCAUUGUUGUGUAACAGAGAAGAAAGAAGAGAUUCUGACCAGAAGGGACACGGAGACAUUCAUGGGGGAUGUUAGUGGAUGUCCUCGGGGGCAUAGGCUACUUGAGGAAGGGAGCUUGGCUCAUUUCUCUCUGUGCUCCACCUGCCCAGCACAGGGUACCAUUUGCAGAAGAUGCUCAUGUGCCAGCCUGGAAUACACAGAUAAGCACAGGAAUGAACUAGCAUUUGAUCUAAUAACAAGAGCAUAGCUGCCAGCAGGUGACUGCUCUUUGUUGUCAUUUCAGGUCCUUGUCUACUCUGCUAGGUCGGAGGCCAAGGCUCCACAGUUCUCAUUUGCCUGCAGCAAUGGUGAUCGGGUUCGAAACUUUCCAACCUAGUUAAACGUGUGGGUGGUUGGGGCCCACCCAAGGAAAAGAAGAGUGUGCUCAAUCAAAUCUUUUGUUUAGAAAAUGUUUUUCAGCUGAGUGUCCUAGGGCCCUUGUCCUGCUAGGCUCGAGGAUCCUGUUGCUAAAAGCCGGAGUGGAAAUUUAGGAGACUACAACUCAGACUCAAAAAUGAUAAUUGCUCAAAUCUGUUAAAGUCUUCACAGGUUGUUGCUGUUUUUUUAAUAAAAGGGCUUUACUUCUGUGAUUUGAUUUGACCCUUGAAAUGACCCUGUGGAGUGGGUAAAAGAAAGAGGAUGGGGUUUCAUGUCAUCAGUUCCAAGCCUGGCUCUACCACUUCUGGGCCUUGAGAACUUGGGAAAGGUGAGAACUUUCUGUAAGGUCUGCUUUUCUCCUUUGGGCAAUGAGAUGAUAAUGCCUAUCUCCUCUGACGGCCUCGAGGCCUGAUUGAUAUCAGGUUUUAGAAAGAGCCUACCAAAUAGAGUAAAACCUUAAAGAAGAAUUCAAACCCGUGUCCUCCCUUUUUUCCUUUUCUUUUGUAAAAUGGAGAACACAGUAAACAUUUACAAGCAUUGCUGUGAUGAAAUGGACAAUGAACAUAUAUAAUACAUACUCAGUAAAAGGUAGUUAAGGCUAUUCAUUUUAGACCCUGAUACUUUUUAAAAUAAAUGAGAUGUUACUAGUGUCUUUCUGAAUGUUUCAAAUUUCAAAUUCCCUUUGACGUUGAAGAAAACCUUACAAUUUCCAUUUUUAAGAGAAAGGGACAGAUGUAUGGAAACAUUAGACUGGGCAUUAAGAACCUUGGCUUGAGUUUGGUUCUGGAGUUUCCGAGACAGGCUGCGACGCAGAAGAACCCUUACUGGAGUGCUUAUACCUGCAUAAAUGUUUCCUCAAGCAGCAGAAUACAAAGAAACUAUAAGAGACUAAAAGCAAUUUCAUGCAGGCACAGUUGAGGCCAAUUAUGCAUAAUAAGAUACAAGAAAGCCAAAACCCAACAGUUGCUGCUGAGGUGCUGAGAGCAAAAUCAGGGUACAGCGCAUGAUCCAGACACACAACACCCCUGAGGAGGUGGGCAGACCAACACCUGAGCCACCCUUCUGGCCUGACCCAGACAUCCAUCUCACCCCCACCCCAUUUAAAGAACCAGCCACCCUCCUUGGAGGUGGAGCAGGGGCACCUGUUUCUUGUUUCAGCUCCUUCACGCUGUAGCCCACGACUGAGUCCUAAUAAAGCCUUAGCUGAACUCCUUCUCCUGCCUCUUAUCAGUCUCUAAAGCAUCCAAAGGCUCAAGUUGGUAAUGCUUCCUUGCUGCGAGGCCUUAGGUAAGUCACUUUCUUUUUCUGGGCCUUACGUUCUUCCUCUCUGCAGAGAGCAGACUGGACCAGAUGAAUGCUCCUUGUUAUCCCCAAGAAUCUAUGUUUGUAAAUUUUUUUCCCAAAUCCAGUAAAAAUCCUUAGCCCUUAAAAAGGGAAAUUUAAUCAGAAUUUUUUUUUUCUGAUUUAUGUGCACUUAACCAAACAGAACCCUACUUUCUAAGAGCUCUUUGAUGUUUAAGCUGCCUUAAAGAUUUUUUUUAAAGUUUUUUUCUUAGAAACAGGAAAUCAGAUUUUGGCAAGAGGGAAAGAAAUUCGAACACAUCCAGACUUGGGGGUGGGGGCAGUUGGUUGGUUUUUGAGUGGGCAGAAUUUGAGAGGGUUCCUGAGAUUGGCAAGAGGUGGCCUAGGCCACCCUCGCUCAGCCUCCCGAGGGUCUCCAACUUGAAAGGCUGUGUGAACUUCUGGGGCGGCGACAGGGAAGGCAUGCCUGAAGCAUUUCCUAAAACUUUAAGGACUGGCUGAAUGUUUUCUUUUCCUCCUCAGCCCUGCGUCUUCUUUCUCUUGGGCGAUAUCUGGCAGUCCACAUUGCCAAAUGCCUUAAAUGAUCUCUAAGGAAAAUAUUUUUUCACUAGAUCAGUUUUCCUUUCCAGAAAAAAAGGGACAGAAAAGAGAAAAUAGGAUGAGUGUGUGGCAGAGACAGUGUUUAGUUACUGCUCUGAAAAGCUCCUAAAAUCUCUGCGAGCCAAGUGAUUUUUAACAAGUGAAAUAGUGACCCACUAGGCAACUGGGGUAGCAGCUUCAAGGCCCAGGUGGGCCUCCUGUUGACCAAGGGACUUGCAACAGAGCUCGAUCUGGUGAGUUGGCCUGGGCCCAGGUCAUGAAGGAUGAGUUUAGCGGUUGGAUGGAAACAUGGAAUCAUUGCCCCGGUGGGCUUGCCCUGAGGCUGCUCCAGGAGAAGUGACGGGAGGAUGACAGUCAAUGACAAGGCUCUUUUCUGGACAUUGAUGAGCUCUGUGACUCCACAAGCUUUCAAGGCAUAGAAGAGGUAAACACGUAAAUGUGAACAUCUACAUAUCUUACAGAAAAAUUUCUAAGAUCUAAAAUCAGGAAUGCUGUGUGGUUCAGCUAUAUUUCCUUUGGUGCUGAGAAUAAUGACCAGGAAGAGAAGGUACAUAAACCUGUGAAGACAUUACAUGGCUUGGUCCAACAAGGUUAUUCAGAUUUGGUGAAAGAAGUCUCCAGUUGCUUCCAAUGAUCCUACAAAAGUCUUGGACUGAGGACACUUGCACUGAACCACUGGAUCCCUCCAUCAGGACCUGAAAGAUUUUAAAUCAACCCAAAUCUUCUUGGUUGAGAGAAAAUAAAACCCACUGACUUAUAUGACAACACCAGAUGUAAGCCUGAUUUAAGGAACAGGCAAUAUCAAGUUUGGCCCAAAGGUAUCUUUAACAGGGAACAAGAUAAAGUAGCCUCUCUGAGAAAUACCAAAGUCAAGUGAAUUCUCUUAGAGUGCUAUUUUCCAAAUCUGUGCAGAGCUAGUCUAAGCCUCUGACAGGUUUCAGUUAUGUACAAGUCAGAAGUAUUUUUACUAAUAGUAUUCCAGACUAUUAGAGACACUGUUGAGAUCAAGAUAUCAUGGAACUACAACAUGAGAUCUUCUUGGCAAUAUUUAAGCCAAGAAAGCUCAAUUCUUGUCAAUAGUCCAUACAGUCCUAAAAUAAGACAUGAUCAUCUACUCUUAAGUCAGAGGAACUAGGUCAUUAGUAGACAUUGGUAUCCUGGACUGAGGGAGAAAGGGGAAAAGAGACCUUAGCAUUCAAACAAAUGUUACAAACUAAGGAGUAUUUCCUAAUAUAACCACAGAAACCAACAUUUUUAGUGUUAGCUAGUACCUUAGAACCCAAGGAGUGGUUUAUAUAUAACCAAUAUCACCUUUUUAUUUAUUAAAAGGAACUGGUACAAGAGACCUUCAUGGCUAGUUGGACUUUUGUUCCUCUACUGCUGUACCUAAAGACAGCUACCAACUUGGAUUCCAGUGAUUCAAGAUUCUCACCUCAACCCUAUUAGGACAUGUGACUCAAAUGCAUGGCUAGUAUGAGCUAUAAAGGAGUAUAUACUGACUCAGGUUAAUGGUGCAUACUGAUGUAAUCCCCGGCUCAACACAGUCUAGUAUGUUUACUGUGAAGUGCAUGGUGAUGAUACACUUAAUUUUAUUGUGUCGACAGCAUUAAAUGUUGGUCUUGGCAAACAUGUAAAGACAACAUGAAAAGUAGAGCCACUGAUGAGAGAUAAUGCCAAGGUGGAUUUCUUUGUGCUGGAUGAAGAAGAUAGUGAACAAAAGGUAAAACAUCCUCAAAGUAUCAAAGAAAGGAAGCCAAGUCUUCCCUUUUGCUGAAUAUGAACCUUUAGGAUAAGAAAUAAAGUUUGGAGAAACUCAUAAAAAACAUUCAA